CCCAUCUGUACAUCCCAGGAUCCUCAGAGU
Molecule: non-coding RNA, 30 nt
Filed under: Rattus norvegicus (Norway rat)
Lineage: Eukaryota; Metazoa; Chordata; Mammalia; Rodentia; Muridae
Source: RNAcentral